This 253-nucleotide ribosomal RNA is filed under the name uncultured bacterium. Its description in RNAcentral is "partial 16S ribosomal RNA". It matches the Rfam family "Bacterial small subunit ribosomal RNA", at positions 524 to 776 of the family's 1533-position model. The record is from RNAcentral.
UACGUAGGGUGCAAGCGUUAAUCGGAAUUACUGGACGUAAAGCGUGCGCAGGCGGUGAUGUAAGACAGAUGUGAAAUCCCCGGGCUCAACCUGGGAACUGCAUUUGUGACUGCAUUGCUGGAGUGCGGCAGAGGGGGAUGGAAUUCCGCGUGUAGCAGUGAAAUGCGUAGAUAUGUGGAGGAACACCGAUGGCGAAGGCAGCCCCCUGGGCUAACACUGACGCUCAUGCACGAAAGCGUGGGGAGCAAACAGG